RNAcentral lists this unclassified non-coding RNA (353 nucleotides) under uncultured fungus. Its description in RNAcentral is "partial contains 5.8S ribosomal RNA and internal transcribed spacer 2". The stretch from base 1 to 132 matches the Rfam family "5.8S ribosomal RNA", at positions 22 to 154 of the family's 154-position model. The record is from RNAcentral. Lineage: Eukaryota; Fungi.
UGGUUCUGGCAUCGAUGAAGAACGCAGCGAAAUGCGAUAAGUAAUGCGAAUUGCAGAAUCCGUGAGUCAUCGAAUCUUUGAACGCACAUUGCGCCCUCUGGUAUUCCGGAGGGCAUGCCUGUUCGAGCGUCAUUAUCACCCCUCAAGCCCGGCUUGUUGUUGGACGCAGGCGGCGGCACACCCGCCCCGCCCGUCUCAAAGGUAAUGACGGCGUCUGCGAGGGACACCUGUACACUGAGCUUUCGGGCACGUACGUGGUUAGAACUCCAGACCCGGUCGCCGUCCCCCCGUCUCGCGGGGAGACAAAAACUUUUCACAAGGUUGACCUCGGAUCAGGUAGGAAUACCCGCUGA